UUGAGCCCCAGUGCCUGCAUCAAAACAACAAGGAAGGAAAAACUAGUGGAGGCAUUCGCUUAGUGGUGGUUGGUCCUAGGCUGGGCCUGUAAGUGUGGCAAGCCCAUCUAGAAAUUGCUCACUUUUAGGGAACUAAGGAGCUAUGUUGUCUGUCCUCUAGUAGCCUCUGGUACCGAUGGAGUACUGACCAACAUCCACUCCGUGUGUGUGUGUGUGUGUGUGUGUGUGUGUGUGUGUGUAGAAAAAGCCAUGAGAGUUGGGUGAGUCAGAUUUAACCACUGUUGUUUUUUUUUUCCCUUUUUGAAACUUGUUAUGCAGCAAUCAAGUGCUUGCUCAGAAAUGUGUGAAAACCACUUAAAAUGUGCAAAACGCCACCCUUUUCAAAGGCGAUAGGCCACUUUCUCUGGAGCCAUGGCGGCCGGCUGCGUGGGGCCGGCCGUGAGCAGAGAGUCCACAGGUGAAUUCUGUGCUCUGCUUGGUUAGGAACGGGAAGCCCUGGUGUGGGCUGAUACUGGGGCUUGAACUCAGGGCCCCAGGUGCUCUCACUUAGCCUUUUCACUCAAGGCUGGUAUUCUACCACUUAAAUCACAGCUUCAC
This is a long non-coding RNA of Perognathus longimembris pacificus (Pacific pocket mouse), 597 nucleotides long. RefSeq lists it as uncharacterized. The transcript is spliced from 3 exons. Lineage: Eukaryota; Metazoa; Chordata; Mammalia; Rodentia; Heteromyidae. The record is from RefSeq and is a predicted model, not a curated record.